RNAcentral lists this unclassified non-coding RNA (223 nucleotides) under fungal sp. Its description in RNAcentral is "partial internal transcribed spacer region". The stretch from base 1 to 46 matches the Rfam family "Eukaryotic small subunit ribosomal RNA", at positions 1786 to 1831 of the family's 1831-position model. The record is from RNAcentral. Lineage: Eukaryota; Fungi.
AAGUUGUAACAAGGUUUCCGUAGGUGAACCUGCGGAAGGAUCAUUAGCAAAGUCCGGUUGACUCGAUUGACCUUUGGGUUGAUCGAUUGACACAAGUCCUUGUUGCUGUUGACUCGUGGUCUAAUUAGAUCACCUGUUGAUGGCAACAUGAUGAUAUAAAUGAAUAGUUGACAGUGUGAUUGCAAACAUAACAAUACUUUUAACAAUGGAUCUCUAGGCUCUU